RNAcentral lists this ribosomal RNA (758 nucleotides) under uncultured bacterium. RNAcentral describes it as "bacterial SSU rRNA". It matches the Rfam family "Bacterial small subunit ribosomal RNA", at positions 8 to 794 of the family's 1533-position model. The record is from RNAcentral.
AGAGUUUGAUCAUGGCUCAGGAUGAACGCUGGCGGCGUGCCUAACACAUGCAAGUCGAGCGAUUUACUUCGGUAAAGAGCGGCGGACGGGUGAGUAACGCGUGGGUAACCUGCCCUGUACACACGGAUAACAUACCGAAAGGUAUGCUAAUACGGGAUAAUAUGCUUUUAUCGCAUGGUAGAAGUAUCAAAGCUUUUGCGGUACAGGAUGGACCCGCGUCUGAUUAGCUAGUUGGUAAGGUAACGGCUUACCAAGGCGACGAUCAGUAGCCGACCUGAGAGGGUGAUCGGCCACAUUGGAACUGAGACACGGUCCAAACUCCUACGGGAGGCAGCAGUGGGGAAUAUUGCACAAUGGGCGAAAGCCUGAUGCAGCAACGCCGCGUGAGCGAUGAAGGCCUUCGGGUCGUAAAGCUCUGUCCUCAAGGAAGAUAAUGACGGUACUUGAGGAGGAAGCCCCGGCUAACUACGUGCCAGCAGCCGCGGUAAUACGUAGGGGGCUAGCGUUAUCCGGAAUUACUGGGCGUAAAGGGUGCGUAGGUGGUUUCUUAAGUCAGAGGUGAAAGGCUACGGCUCAACCGUAGUAAGCCUUUGAAACUGGGAAACUUGAGUGCAGGAGAGGAGAGUGGAAUUCCUAGUGUAGCGGUGAAAUGCGUAGAUAUUAGGAGGAACACCAGUUGCGAAGGCGGCUCUCUGGACUGUAACUGACACUGAGGCACGAAAGCGUGGGGAGCAAACAGGAUUAGAUACCCUGGUAGU